GACGAACGCUGGCGGCGUGCUUAACACAUGCAAGUCGAACGGAAAGGCCCUGCUUUUGUGGGGUGCUCGAGUGGCGAACGGGUGAGUAACACGUGAGUAACCUGCCCUUGACUUUGGGAUAACUUCAGGAAACUGGGGCUAAUACCGGAUAGGAGCUCCUGCUGCAUGGUGGGGGUUGGAAAGUUUCGGCGGUUGGGGAUGGACUCGCGGCUUAUCAGCUUGUUGGUGGGGUAGUGGCUUACCAAGGCUUUGACGGGUAGCCGGCCUGAGAGGGUGACCGGCCACAUUGGGACUGAGAUACGGCGCAGACUCCUACGGGAGGCAGCAGGGGGGAAUAUGGCACAAUGGGCGGAAGCCUGAUGCAGCAACGCCGCGUGCGGGAUGACGGCCUUCGGGUUGUAAACCGCUUUCGCCUGUGACGAAGCGUGAGUGACGGUAAUGGGUAAAGAAGCACCGGCUAACUACGUG
Molecule: ribosomal RNA, 468 nt
Filed under: uncultured bacterium
Lineage: Bacteria
Description: partial 16S ribosomal RNA
Rfam family: Bacterial small subunit ribosomal RNA
Source: RNAcentral